CACGUAGGGCGCAAGCGUUGUCCGGAAUCACUGGGCGUAAAGCGUCUGUAGGUGGUCAAAUAAGUCAACUGUUAAAUCUUGAGGCUUAACCUCAAAAUCGCAGUCGAAACUAUUAGACUAGAGUAUAGUAGGGGUAAAGGGAAUUUCCAGUGGAGCGGUGAAAUGCGUAGAGAUUGGAAAGAACACCGAUGGCGAAGGCACUUUACUGGGCUAUUACUAACACUCAGAGACGAAAGCUAGGGUAGCAAAUGGG
RNAcentral lists this ribosomal RNA (253 nucleotides) under uncultured bacterium. RNAcentral describes it as "partial 16S ribosomal RNA". It matches the Rfam family "Bacterial small subunit ribosomal RNA", at positions 524 to 776 of the family's 1533-position model. The record is from RNAcentral.